This 219-nucleotide long non-coding RNA is filed under the name Lathyrus oleraceus (garden pea). RNAcentral's name for it is "Pisum sativum (pea) long non-coding RNA (PSAT_LNC013224)". Lineage: Eukaryota; Viridiplantae; Streptophyta; Magnoliopsida; Fabales; Fabaceae. The record is from RNAcentral.
UUAAUGAUAUGACAAUGGGAUCCUUUGAAGCUUCGAUAGUCCUUGUCUUGAUCAUCAAAACCCUAAUGAAGGCUCAUACAUUAGAAGACUUGUUGUUGAAGCAUAUGGUUUUGUUCAAAGGACUUGCUUGAGGGGUAGGCCUCAUGGACACCCUAAUCAAGGAGAGAAUGGUCUUGAUGGACUGUGUGGCUUGACUUUCCAUCUGGUGACAUCCAAAAC